GUAAGCAGGGGCUCUGGGUGAUGUGAGGAGCAACAGGCACCCUCCUCCAUGGCCCCUGCUCAUUCCU
This is a microRNA precursor of Gorilla gorilla gorilla (western lowland gorilla), 67 nucleotides long. NCBI's taxonomy places the organism in Eukaryota, Metazoa, Chordata, Mammalia, Primates, Hominidae. The record is from Ensembl.